GACGAACGCUGGCGGCGUGCCUAAUACAUGCAAGUUGAGCGCUGAAGGUUGGUACUUGUACCAACUGGAUGAGCAGCGAACGGGUGAGUAACGCGUGGGGAAUCUGCCUUUGAGCGGGGGACAACAUUUGGAAACGAAUGCUAAUACCGCAUAAAAACUUUAAACACAAGUUUUAAGUUUGAAAGAUGCAAUUGCAUCACUCAAAGAUGAUCCCGCGUUGUAUUAGCUAGUUGGUGAGGUAAAGGCUCACCAAGGCGAUGAUACAUAGCCGACCUGAGAGGGUGAUCGGCCACAUUGGGAAUGAGACACGGCCCAAACUCCUACGGGAGGCAGCAGUAGGGAAUCUUCGGCAAUGGACGAAAGUCUGACCGAGCAACGCCGCGUGAGUGAAGAAGGGUUUCGGAUCGUAAAACUCUGUUGGUAGAGAAGAACGUUGGUGAGAGUGGAAAGCUCAUCAAGUGACGGUAACUACCCAGAAAGGGACGGCUAACUACGUG
Molecule: ribosomal RNA, 497 nt
Filed under: uncultured bacterium
Lineage: Bacteria
Description: partial 16S ribosomal RNA
Rfam family: Bacterial small subunit ribosomal RNA
Source: RNAcentral